CCUACGGGGCGCAGCAGUGGGGAAUCUUCCGCAAUGGGCGAAAGCCUGACGGAGCAACGCCGCGUGAUCGAAUGAAGGCCUUCGGGUUGUAAAGAUCUGUUGACAGGGACGAAUAAGCAAUGCGAAUAGUUUUGUGUAUGACGGUACCUGUUUAGAAAGCUCCGGCUAACUACGUGCCAGCAGCCGCGGUAAUACGUAGGGGGCAAGCGUUAUCCGGAUUUACUGGGUGUAAAGGGAGCGUAGACGGUACGCCAAGUCUGAAGUGAAAUGCCGCAGCUUAACUGCGGACCUGCUUUGGAAACUGG
This 305-nucleotide ribosomal RNA is filed under the name uncultured bacterium. RNAcentral describes it as "bacterial SSU rRNA". It matches the Rfam family "Bacterial small subunit ribosomal RNA", at positions 338 to 636 of the family's 1533-position model. The record is from RNAcentral.